ACGGAAGGCAGCAGUGGGGAAUAUUGCACAAUGGGCGAAAGCCUGAUGCAGCGACGCCGCGUGAGUGAUGAAGUAUUUCGGUAUGUAAAGCUCUAUCAGCAGGGAAGAUAAUGACGGUACCUGACUAAGAAGCACCGGCUAAAUACGUGCCAGCAGCCGCGGUAGUACGUAUGGUGCAAGCGUUAUCCGGAUUUACUGGGUGUAAAGGGAGCGCAGGCGGUACGGCAAGUCUGAUGUGAAAGCCCGGGGCUCAACCCCGGUACUGCAUUGGAAACUGUCGAACUAGAGUGUCGGAGGGGUAAGUGGAAUUCCUAGUGUAGCGGUGAAAUGCGUAGAUAUUAGGAGGAACACCAGUGGCGAAGGCGACUUACUGGACGAUAACUGACGCUGAGGCUCGAAAGCGUGGGGAGCAAACAGGAUUAGAUACCCUGGUA
RNAcentral lists this ribosomal RNA (434 nucleotides) under uncultured Roseburia sp. RNAcentral's name for it is "partial 16S ribosomal RNA". It matches the Rfam family "Bacterial small subunit ribosomal RNA", at positions 341 to 792 of the family's 1533-position model. Lineage: Bacteria; Bacillati; Bacillota; Clostridia; Lachnospirales; Lachnospiraceae. The record is from RNAcentral.